GAGUUUGAUCCUGGCUCAGAACGAACGCUGGCGGCGUGGAUAAGACAUGCAAGUCGAACGGGAAUGAACGGGUAGCAAUAUUCGGACAUUCUAGUGGCGAAAGGGUGCGUAACACGUAGGUCAUCUACCUCCAAGUGUGGGAUAGCUCGGCGAAAGCCGGAUUAAUACCGCAUGUGGUUCAGGAACGUCAGUUCCGAAAAUUAAAGCCGGGGAUCGUAAGACCUGGCGCUUGGAGAUGAGCCUGCGGCCUAUCAGCUUGUUGGUGAGGUAACGGCUCACCAAGGCUAAGACGGGUAGCUGGUCUGAGAGGACGACCAGCCACACUGGAACUGAGACACGGUCCAGACACCUACGGGUGGCAGCAGUCGAGGAUUUUUCUCAAUGGGCGAAAGCCUGAAGGAGCGACGCCGCGUGGGGGAUGAAGGUCUUCGGAUUGUAAACCCCUGUCACUUGGGAACAAAUUGGUUGACCCAAUACGUCAGCCAUUGAUUGUACCAGGAGAGGAAGACGUGGCUAACUCUGUGCCAGCAGCCGCGGUAAUACAGAGACGUCGAGCGUUGUUCGGAUUCAUUGGGCGUAAAGGGUGCGUAGGCGGUCGGGUAAGUCGGACGUGAAAUCCCAGAGCUUAACUCUGGAAGUGCAUUCGAAACUACCUGGCUCGAGGACUGGAGGGGAGACUGGAAUUCUCGGUGUAGCGGUGAAAUGCGUAGAUAUCGAGAGGAACACCUGUGGCGAAGGCGGGUCUCUGGACAGUUCCUGACGCUGAGGCACGAAAGCUAGGGUAGCAAACGGGAUUAGAUACCCCGGUAGUCCUAGCCCUAAACGGUGCUCACUUGGUGUGGGAGGGAAUCGACCCCUUCCGUGCCGAAGCUAACGCGAUAAGUGAGCCGCCUGGGGAGUACGGUCGCAAGACUAAAACUCAAAGAAAUUGACGGGGGCCCGCACAAGCGGUGGAGCAUGUGGCUUAAUUCGAUGCAACGCGAAGAACCUUACCUGGCCUUGACAUGUACGUAGUAGAAGCCCGAAAUGGUGACGAGGUAGCAAUACCAGCGUACACAGGUGCUGCAUGGCUGUCGUCAGCUCGUGCCGUGAGGUGUUCGGUUAAGUCCGGUAACGAGCGCAACCCCUGUGUUUAGUUGCAACCGCCGAUGUGAAUCGGUGGGCACUCUAAACAGACUGCCCUGUGAAACGGGGAGGAAGGUGGGGAUGACGUCAAGUCAGUAUGGCCCUUACGGCCAGGGCUGCACACGUGCUACAAUGCCCAGUACAGAGGGACGCAAGACCGCGAGGUGGAGCAAAUCCCCCAAAACUGGGCUCAGUUCAGAUUGAAGGCUGCAACUCGCCUUCAUGAAGCUGGAAUCGCUAGUAAUGGCGCAUCAGCUACGGCGCCGUGAAUACGUUCCCGGGCCUUGUACACACCGCCCGUCACGUCCGGAAAGCCGCUUGUACCCGAAGUCGCCCCUUAAAAGGCGCCGAAGGUAUGGGUGGUGAUUUGGACGAAGUCGUAACAAGGUAGCCGUAAAUCGUCGACCUGCAGGC
RNAcentral lists this ribosomal RNA (1539 nucleotides) under uncultured bacterium. RNAcentral describes it as "bacterial SSU rRNA". It matches the Rfam family "Bacterial small subunit ribosomal RNA". The record is from RNAcentral.